CGGGUGGCAAGCGGCGAACGGCUGAGGAACACGUCAGUACCUGCCCCGAACUCAGGGAUAAGCACCGGAAACGGUGUCUAAUACCGGAUACCCAGAUAAUGGAAAGGAUUUAUCGGUUCGGGAGGGGCUUGCGGCGUAUCAGCUUGUUUGUGAGGUAAUGGCUCACCAAGGCUAUGACGCGUAUCUGGUGUGAGAGCAUGACCAGACAGAGUGGGACUGAGACACGGCCCACACUCCUACGGGAGGCAGCAGUGAGGAAUUUUCCGCAAUGGACGAAAGUCUGACGGAGCAAUCCCGCGUGGAGGAUGACACCUUUCGGGGCGUAAACUCCUUUUCUGAGGGAAGAAAUUCUGACGGUACCUCAGGAAUAAGCAUCGGCUAAUUAUGUGCCAGCAGCCGCGGUAAUACAUAAGAUGCGAGCGUUAUCCGGAAUUAUUGGGCGUAAAGCGUUCGAAGGCGGAAAAGUAAGUGAAAUAUUAAAUCCCUACGGCUCAACCGAGGUUCCGUAUUUCAAACUGCUUUUCUUGAGAUAUGCAGAGGAAACUGGAAUUCCCAUUGGAGGGGUAAAAUCCGUAGAUAAUGGGAGGAACACCAAAAGCGAAGGCAGGUUUCUGGGCAUUUUCUGACGCUGCGCGAACGAAAGCGUGGGGAGCGAAAGGGAUUAGAUACCCCUGUAGCCCACGCCGUAAACGAUGAUUACUCGAUGUACGCCGGUAUCAAUCCCGGUGUGUGUCCAAGCUAGCGCGUUAAGUAAUCCGCCUGGGGAGUACGGCCGCAAGGUUAAAACUCAAAGGAAUAGACGGGGAUCCACACAAGCGGUGGAGCAUGGGGUUUAAUUCGAUAAUAAGCGAGGAACCUUACCGGGGCUUGACAUCCUGCGAAGUCUUGAGAGAUCGAGAUGUGCCUUCGGGAACGCAGUGACAGGUGCUGCAUGGUUGUCGUCAGCUCGUGCCUUGAGGUGUGCGGUUAAGUCCGUGAACGAGCGCAACCCUCGUCGUGUGUUGUAUUUUUCACACGAGACUGCCCGUUUUACGCGGGAGGAAGGUGAGGAUGACGUCAAAUCAGCAUGGCCCUUAUGUCCCGGGCGACACCCGUGCUACAAUGGCCGACACAAAGGGCAGCCAACCCGCGAGGGGGGGCGAAUCCCAAAAAGUCGGUCUCAGUUCGGAUUGGAGUCUGCAACUCGACUCCAUGAAGUUGGAAUCGCUAGUAACCGUGAAUCAGCCAUGUCACGGUGAAUAUGUUCCUGGAUCUUGUACUCACCGCCCGUCAAGUCACGAAAGGUGGGGGCGCCCGAAGCCGUCUUAUCCCGCAAGGGAGGAUGACCACGGUGAAACCACUGAUUGGGACUAAGUCGUAACGAGGUA
This 1367-nucleotide ribosomal RNA is filed under the name metagenome. RNAcentral describes it as "bacterial SSU rRNA". It matches the Rfam family "Bacterial small subunit ribosomal RNA". The record is from RNAcentral.